UACGUAGGUGGCAAGCGUUAUCCGGAUUUAUUGGGCGUAAAGGGAACGCAGGCGGUCUUUUAAGUCUGAUGUGAAAGCCUUCGGCUUAACCGGAGUAGUGCAUUGGAAACUGGGAGACUUGAGUGCAGGAGAGGAGAGUGGAACUCCAUGUGUAGCGGUGAAAUGCGUAGAUAUAUGGAGGAACACCAGUGGCGAAAGCGGCUCUCUGGUCUGUAACUGACGCUGAGGUUCGAAAGCGUGGGUAGCAAACAGG
Molecule: ribosomal RNA, 253 nt
Filed under: uncultured bacterium
Lineage: Bacteria
Description: partial 16S ribosomal RNA
Rfam family: Bacterial small subunit ribosomal RNA
Source: RNAcentral